RNAcentral lists this long non-coding RNA (395 nucleotides) under Mus spicilegus (steppe mouse). RNAcentral's name for it is "lncRNA (ENSMSIG00000012172.1)". Lineage: Eukaryota; Metazoa; Chordata; Mammalia; Rodentia; Muridae. The record is from RNAcentral.
GGGUGGGUAGGGGAGUAGGGCAGAGGGAGGGUAUAGGGAACUUUCGGGAUAGCAUUUGAAAUGUAUAUAAAGAAAAUAUCUAAUAAAAAAUAAAUUAAAAAGAAAAGAAAUAGCAGUUGUUACAGAAUCUGGAGCCUGAGGAACCAUGGUGACAACAUGAGGACAAUGCCCAACAGUGAGACCUAGGGAAAGAAGCUUCGUGCUCAGAGAGCAUCUCAGGAGGAGAGGGGAAGCCAAGAUGGAGGCGAACACACACGAAGAAGAAGAACCUGAACCAACAUGGACUUAAAUAGCCACAGGGCAUCAGCUUCAGUAUAUUCUGGAACCUGGCAGAGAAGGGAAGAAACGCCAGCUCCAGAUGACAGGCAGAAAGACAGCAGCGCUAAAUGUGAGGU